This 85-nucleotide transfer RNA is filed under the name Candidatus Magasanikbacteria bacterium RIFOXYA2_FULL_40_20. Its description in RNAcentral is "tRNA-Leu". It matches the Rfam family "tRNA". Rfam says of the family: Transfer RNA (tRNA) molecules are approximately 80 nucleotides in length. Their secondary structure includes four short double-helical elements and three loops (D, anti-codon, and T loops). Lineage: Bacteria; Candidatus Magasanikiibacteriota. The record is from RNAcentral.
GGUCCAGUGGCGGAACUGGUAUACGCACAGCACUUAAAAUGCUGCGCCGCAAGGCAUAUGGGUUCGACUCCCAUCUGGACCACCA